This is a long non-coding RNA of Lagopus muta (rock ptarmigan), 1696 nucleotides long. RefSeq lists it as uncharacterized. Lineage: Eukaryota; Metazoa; Chordata; Aves; Galliformes; Phasianidae. The transcript has 2 exons. The record is from RefSeq and is a predicted model, not a curated record.
CAGAGGUCAGUGCCACAGCAGCACUGCGCUAAGUUCAGUCACCAAAGCAUGCUUCACUUUGACGUCAACCCAGCACCCAACAGCAAGGAUGAAUUCCCCCUCUUUCCCAGAACUUGCUUGUUUAAGGACACCUUGUUAAUUAGCAGGUUUUUUUAUUUGGUUUCUGUAGCACUGAGGCACUCCUGGCUGUCCACCUUCCCCAUGGACUCCAAGCAGAGUCCCUUAUUCUCUGCUUCUUGGUAGGAGCCAAUGGAAUCCUGGAGAUACUGCAACUGCCAGAGGAAUGGAGAGAAAUGCACCCAGAGGCUUGCAGAAGCCUCUUUGGACAGUGGUGGGCAGGUCUUCUCAAAGGCCUCUCCCAUCGUUUACUCUGCUGCAGCCGUAACUUCUCCCGGACUCAGCAAAGUUUUUUCACUUUUCGGAGCACAGGCUUUCCUAGGCAGCUUCAGCUCCAUGCCUGAAGGAACUGCAGGCAGUGAUUCAUCAGAGAGACAACACAUCCCAAACAACCAGAAGGUCAACUACUUCUUAAGGCAAAAAUAUUUUGCAGUGAUUUAUAGCUGUAUGUGGGAAAAUAGAGGUCUUAUAUGGCUAAAGCAGGCAAACAAUAGAUGGGGAAGAAUUUCUUCUCAUCAACACUCGUCUUCCUUCUCACGGAAACAUCACACACUUUGCAUUCUGUAACAAAAUGUAAGUUUUAUUCUGUUUUAUUAGUAAUGGACGUGGAAUAGCCGGUUGAAGAGUCGGGCUAAUGUUUCAUUCUCUUUUGACCAAUGCUUAACCUAACUACAGUCCAGAUGGAACAUUUACACUGAGAAAUACUUAGAGAGAUUCAACCUCAUACUCAAAAAUUUUCUAGUACAAAUACAGUUAGUACAUAAAAAAUGAACAAAAAAAAAAUAUCCCAGAAACUUCAUAACAGCACAGACUGGUUAUGGCCUUGAGUUAAGUUCAAGUAUUUUCCAGUGGAAUGCAAUGCAAGCAACAAGGUAAUCUGGCUUUUACGUGGGACAUUCCUGGCCCUGAAUGGUAAGAACAGAAACGCAAGGGCGGGCACUUUAUCCAGCAAAGCUUAGUGAGGGAAUCAACAUUUAUGAUUAGUUCAGCUACAGAGCUAAACCCGUCUGGAGCGUGAACUGAAUGACUAACCUGCAGAAAAGAAAGCAAAGCAUUAGUUGUAAUACUGGCAUUUCUUCCAUGGCCGAUGCUGCCCGUCGUCUGCUUGAAAUUCCUCAAGCCUCCGGUUUGGUUUGUGGCGGGGCUUUUGCUUGUGGUUACACAUAUUUUGCCUUCCUAUCCUUUUCCUGCCCUAACAGACACAGUAAAGACGGGAUUUCCCUUCCUGCUCUGGAAGGGGUCACUGCUGCGGAGACGUCGGUGCCUUGGUGGUGGAGGUGACUCAGUGGAGCACACAACAUCCUAAGAGCUCCGGAGGGCAAGCAGUGGAGGAAAGGGGGAAGUGAGCAAUUUGGUAUAUCUAAUUAUAAUAAUAAGCCUCCAUAUUUAUAGGGCUAUCUGACUCAUGCUGGUGGCUGGAGGAACAGGGGCGGCUCCUUCUUGGUAUAGAGGAGCGUAUGGGAGCUUGGCAGCCCACCACAAGAUCCUGGCAUUAAGCAGUCCUGCCAGCAGUGUGCCCUUUUGCUUCAAUCCCUGUCAAAAAGCUUGGAAAAAGAAGAAAGAAAAAAAAAAGGGAAAG